Molecule: regulatory RNA element, 84 nt
Organism: Anaerocolumna jejuensis DSM 15929
Lineage: Bacteria; Bacillati; Bacillota; Clostridia; Lachnospirales; Lachnospiraceae
Rfam family: c-di-GMP-I riboswitch aptamer
About the family: GEMM was predicted in a large-scale screen for bacterial structured RNA regulatory elements.
Source: Rfam
GAAUAAGAUGAGCAUAACUGCCCAAAGGCAGUGACGCAAAGCUAUAGGGCCUAAGCCUUACAGGUAUGGCAGCCAGUUGCAAUU